GACGAACGCUGGCGGCGUGCUUAACACAUGCAAGUCGAACGGAAAGGCCCUGCUUGCAGGGUACUCGAGUGGCGAACGGGUGAGUAACACGUGGGUGAUCUGCCCUGCACUUCGGGAUAAGCCUGGGAAACUGGGUCUAAUACCGGAUAGGAGCCAUUUUUAGUGUGAUGGUUGGAAAGUUUUUUCGGUGUAGGAUGAGCUCGCGGCCUAUCAGCUUGUUGGUGGGGUAAUGGCCUACCAAGGCGGCGACGGGUAGCCGGCCUGUGAGGGUGGACGGCCACAUUGGGUCUGAGAGGCGGCCCAGACUCCUACGGGAGGCAGCAGUGGGGAAUAUUGCACAAUGGGCGCAAGCCUGAUGCAGCGACGCCGCGUGGGGUAUGACGGCCUUCGGGUUGUAAACUCCUUUCGCAAGGGACGAAGCUUUUUGUGACGGUACCUAGAUAAGAAGCACCGGCUAACUACGUG
Molecule: ribosomal RNA, 465 nt
Filed under: uncultured bacterium
Lineage: Bacteria
Description: partial 16S ribosomal RNA
Rfam family: Bacterial small subunit ribosomal RNA
Source: RNAcentral